GCGGCAAUAGCUCAGUGGUAGAGCCCCGCUUCGAGUGCGGGGAGACCCGGGUUCGAUUCCCGGCUGCUUCC
Molecule: transfer RNA, 71 nt
Organism: Toxocara canis (dog roundworm)
Lineage: Eukaryota; Metazoa; Nematoda; Chromadorea; Rhabditida; Toxocaridae
Rfam family: tRNA
About the family: Transfer RNA (tRNA) molecules are approximately 80 nucleotides in length. Their secondary structure includes four short double-helical elements and three loops (D, anti-codon, and T loops).
Source: Rfam